This 683-nucleotide long non-coding RNA is filed under the name Notechis scutatus (mainland tiger snake). RNAcentral's name for it is "lncRNA (ENSNSUG00000005840.1)". Lineage: Eukaryota; Metazoa; Chordata; Lepidosauria; Squamata; Elapidae. The record is from RNAcentral.
GAGUGUACUGUUUAUACAGUAAGUUGAUUUUGCAUUUACCCAUUUGUUUCUCCAUAGCCACAUGUAGCCCGGCCAGUCCGGAAAGUGCACACAUUUGGGAAGAGAGCAAACUCCAUCAAGAGAGAUCCUAACUCUCCCGUUAUAAUGCGUGGCUGGCUUUAUAAGCAGGAUAGCUCUGGGCUCAAACUAUGGAAACGGCGCUGGUUUGUCCUUUCCAAUUACUGCCUCUUCUACUACCGAGGCUGAACAUCCAGGCAUGCGGACUUACUAUUUCAGUGCAGACACCCAGUUGGAUAUGAAUAGCUGGAUCAGGGCCAUGAACCAGUCAGCUGCUGCUGAGUGCAACUGUGGAAACCUCAACCAAGGGGGUCUCCACAGCCACUCAGUGUCUGCCCACACCAGCUUUGAGGACAUUCGGCUCCCACAGGGUGAUUGUGCCAAAAGCACCGAGUCACUAGAAGUUGCCCAUCUCUCAGAGAUCCAGGAGUCCCGGGCCUCCUCGUCCGAGAGCCUCCACCUGCCUGACAUCCAGACAGGAUCUCCUUGCCUUAAGAGGGCUUCUUUAUCCAGUUCGCUCAACGGGAGCUACUGCCGUGAAAAGAAAGAGCAGCCAGAAUUGAGGUAAGGAGAAGUAAAACCAGCUUCAUUGCUGUGGAUGCUGUAGAGGAGGGAUGUCUAACCUU